RNAcentral lists this ribosomal RNA (786 nucleotides) under bacterium LGM60. RNAcentral describes it as "bacterial SSU rRNA". It matches the Rfam family "Bacterial small subunit ribosomal RNA", at positions 57 to 817 of the family's 1533-position model. The record is from RNAcentral.
GCAGUCGACGCUUCUUUUUNNNCGGAGCUUGCUCCACCGGAAAAAGAGGAGUGGCGAACGGGUGAGUAACACGUGGGUAACCUGCCCAUCAGAAGGGGAUAACACUUGGAAACAGGUGCUAAUACCGUAUAACAAUCAAAACCGCAUGGUUUUGAUUUGAAAGGCGCUUUCGGGUGUCGCUGAUGGAUGGACCCGCGGUGCAUUAGCUAGUUGGUGAGGUAACGGCUCACCAAGGCCACGAUGCAUAGCCGACCUGAGAGGGUGAUCGGCCACAUUGGGACUGAGACACGGCCCAAACUCCUACGGGAGGCAGCAGUAGGGAAUCUUCGGCAAUGGACGAAAGUCUGACCGAGCAACGCCGCGUGAGUGAAGAAGGUUUUCGGAUCGUAAAACUCUGUUGUUAGAGAAGAACAAGGAUGAGAGUAACUGUUCAUCCCUUGACGGUAUCUAACCAGAAAGCCACGGCUAACUACGUGCCAGCAGCCGCGGUAAUACGUAGGUGGCAAGCGUUGUCCGGAUUUAUUGGGCGUAAAGCGAGCGCAGGCGGUUUCUUAAGUCUGAUGUGAAAGCCCCCGGCUCAACCGGGGAGGGUCAUUGGAAACUGGGAGACUUGAGUGCAGAAGAGGAGAGUGGAAUUCCAUGUGUAGCGGUGAAAUGCGUAGAUAUAUGGAGGAACACCAGUGGCGAAGGCGGCUCUCUGGUCUGUAACUGACGCUGAGGCUCGAAAGCGUGGGGAGCAAACAGGAUUAGAUACCCUGGUAGUCCACGCCGUAAACGAUGAGUGCU